This 500-nucleotide ribosomal RNA is filed under the name uncultured bacterium. RNAcentral describes it as "partial 16S ribosomal RNA". It matches the Rfam family "Bacterial small subunit ribosomal RNA", at positions 30 to 523 of the family's 1533-position model. The record is from RNAcentral.
AUUGAACGCUGGCGGCAUGCCUUACACAUGCAAGUCGAACGGCAGCACGGACUUCGGUCUGGUGGCGAGUGGCGAACGGGUGAGUAAUAUAUCGGAACAUACCUUGUAGUGGGGGAUAACUAUCCGAAAGGAUAGCUAAUACCGCAUACGCUCUAAGGAGGAAAGUGGGGGAUCGCAAGACCUCAUGCUAUAAGAGUGGCCGAUAUCUGAUUAGCUAGUUGGUGAGGUAAAGGCUCACCAAGGCGACGAUCAGUAGCUGGUCUGAGAGGACGACCAGCCACACUGGAACUGAGACACGGUCCAGACUCCUACAGGAGGCAGCAGUGGGGAAUUUUGGACAAUGGGGGCAACCCUGAUCCAGCAAUGCCGCGUGAGUGAAGAAGGCCUUCGGGUUGUAAAGCUCUUUUGUCAGGGAAGAAACGGUUGUGGCUAAUAUCCAUGGCUAAUGACGGUACCUGAAGAAUAAGCACCGGCUAACUACGUGCCAGCAGCCGCCGUAA